RNAcentral lists this signal recognition particle RNA (272 nucleotides) under Mesocricetus auratus (golden hamster). RNAcentral describes it as "Metazoan signal recognition particle RNA (ENSMAUG00000003945.1)". It matches the Rfam family "Metazoan signal recognition particle RNA". Rfam says of the family: The signal recognition particle (SRP) is a universally conserved ribonucleoprotein. It is involved in the co-translational targeting of proteins to membranes. The record is from RNAcentral. Lineage: Eukaryota; Metazoa; Chordata; Mammalia; Rodentia; Cricetidae.
ACUGAGGGUGCACAUCUGUAGUCCCUGCUACUCAGGAGGUUGAAGAUAGACAGGAGGAUCGCUUGAGUCCAGGAGUUCUGGGCUAUGUGCGCUAUGCCGAUCGGGUGCCUGCACUAAGUUCAGCAUCAAUAUGGUGACCUUGGGAGCAGGGAACCACCAGGUUGCCUAAGGAGGGGUGAACUGGUUCAUGUCAGAAACAGAAUUACCCUUGGAACUGUAGUGAACUGUCCAACAGGGAAACACACACAGCAAGGAUUAGGGUUGUAACUCUG